RNAcentral lists this ribosomal RNA (253 nucleotides) under uncultured bacterium. RNAcentral's name for it is "partial 16S ribosomal RNA". It matches the Rfam family "Bacterial small subunit ribosomal RNA", at positions 524 to 776 of the family's 1533-position model. The record is from RNAcentral.
UACAGAGGGGGCAAGCGUUGUUCGGAAUUACUGGGCGUAAAGGGCGCGUAGGCGGCCUUCUAAGUCGAACGUGAAAUCCCCGGGCUCAACCCGGGAACUGCGUCCGAUACUGGAAGGCUUGAAUCCGGGAGAGGGAUGUGGAAUUCCAGGUGUAGCGGUGAAAUGCGUAGAUAUCUGGAGGAACACCGGUGGCGAAGGCGGCAUUCUGGACUGCAACUGACACUGAAAGACGAAAGCCAGGGGAGCAAACGGG